Molecule: ribosomal RNA, 254 nt
Filed under: uncultured bacterium
Lineage: Bacteria
Description: partial 16S ribosomal RNA
Rfam family: Bacterial small subunit ribosomal RNA
Source: RNAcentral
UACAGAGGGUGCGAGCGUUAAUCGGAAUUACUGGGCGUAAAGCGUGCGUAGACGGUUAUUUAAGUCGGGUGUGAAAGCCCCGGGCUCAACCUGGGAAUUGCAUUCGAGACUGCAUAGCUAGGGUGCGGAAGAGGGAAGCGGAAUUUCCGGUGUAGCGGUGAAAUGCGUAGAUAUCGGAAGGAACACCAGUGGCGAAAGCGGCUUCCUGGUCCAGCACCGACGUUCAGGCACGAAAGCGUGGGGGAGCAAACAGG